Hordeum vulgare subsp. vulgare (domesticated barley) is the source of this 284-nucleotide long non-coding RNA. RefSeq lists it as uncharacterized. NCBI's taxonomy places the organism in Eukaryota, Viridiplantae, Streptophyta, Magnoliopsida, Poales, Poaceae. The record is from RefSeq and is a predicted model, not a curated record. The transcript has 3 exons.
UCACCCUCUCCACGGCCGCAACCGCCGCGCUGGUCCUGCGCAUCCGGGGGUCCAUCGCCACCACCACGUCACCCUCCCUGCACUUCCGCAGCGCCUGCGUCCACACGAGGCAUAUGCAGUCGCAGAAUAACAUGUACAUGAUGGAACAUAGUAAAAAAAACAUGUACAUGAUGGAGGAAUGAAGAAAGAAAGGUUGGCGAGGUGGGAAGCAGUUUGUGCAUGCUCCGGCAAUCAUCGUAGCAGCUUCUUCCCAGAAUGAUCCUCCGCUCCUGGCCUUCUCCCCA